RNAcentral lists this ribosomal RNA (507 nucleotides) under uncultured bacterium. RNAcentral's name for it is "partial 16S ribosomal RNA". It matches the Rfam family "Bacterial small subunit ribosomal RNA", at positions 28 to 507 of the family's 1533-position model. The record is from RNAcentral.
GACGAACGCUGGCGGCGUGCUUAACACAUGCAAGUCGAACGGGCCUUGUCCCCUUUUUUUUUGGGGGUGGGGUUAGUGGCGAACGGGUGAGUAACACGUGAGUAACCUGCCCCUCACUUCUGGAUAACCGCUUGAAAGGGUGGCUAAUACGGGGUGUUCUGGCCUGCUCGCAUGGGUGGGUUUGGAAAGAUUCGACCGGUUUGGUUGUUUUGGUGGGGGAUGGGCUCGCGGCCUAUCAGCUUGUUGGUGGGGUGAUGGCCUGCCAAGGCUUUGACGGGUAGCCGGCCUGAGAGGGUGGGCGGUCACACUGGGAAUGAGACACGGCCCAGACUCCUACGGGAGGCAGCAGUGGGGAAUAUUGCACAAUGGGCGCAAGCCUGAUGCAGCGACGCCGCGUGAGGGAUGGAGGCCUUCGGGUUGUGAACCUCUUUCGCCAGUGAAGAAGGUCCUGCUCUUUGUGGUGGGGUUGACGGUAGCUGGGUUAAUGAAGCGCCGGCUAACUACGUG